UGAACGCUGGCGGUAGGCCUAACACAUGCAAGUCGAACGGCAGCACAGUAAGAGCUUGCUCUUACGGGUGGCGAGUGGCGGACGGGUGAGGAAUACAUCGGAAUCUACUUUUUCGUGGGGGAUAACGUAGGGAAACUUACGCUAAUACCGCAUACGACCUACGGGUGAAAGCAGGGGAUCUUCGGACCUUGCGCGAUUGAAUGAGCCGAUGUCGGAUUAGCUAGUUGGCGGGGUAAAGGCCCACCAAGGCGACGAUCCGUAGCUGGUCUGAGAGGAUGACCAGCCACACUGGAACUGAGACACGGUCCAGACUCCUACGGGAGGCAGCAGUGGGGAAUAUUGGACAAUGGGCGCAAGCCUGAUCCAGCCAUACCGCGUGGGUGAAGAAGGCCUUCGGGUUGUAAAGCCCUUUUGUUGGGAAAGAAAAGCAGCAGGUUAAUACCCCGCUGUUCUGACGGUACCCAAAGAAUAAGCACCGGCUAACUUCGUG
Molecule: ribosomal RNA, 490 nt
Filed under: uncultured bacterium
Lineage: Bacteria
Description: partial 16S ribosomal RNA
Rfam family: Bacterial small subunit ribosomal RNA
Source: RNAcentral